GAUAACAGGCUUAUCUCCCCCAAGAGUCCACAUCGACGGGGAGGUUUGGCACCUCGAUGUCGGCUCAUCACAUCCUGGGGCUGUAGUAGGUCCCAAGGGGUGGGCUGUUCGCCCAUUAAAGUGGUACGCGAGCUGGGUUCAGAACGUCGUGAGACAGUUCGGUCCCUAUCCGUCGCAGGCGUAGGAAAUUUGAGAAGACCUGUCCUUAGUACGAGAGGACCGGGAUGGACGUACCUCUGGUGUACCAGUUGUCCUGCCAAGGGCAUGGCUGGGUAGCUAUGUACGGAAUGGAUAAGCGCUGAAAGCAUCUAAGCGCGAAGCCAACUUCAAGAUAAGAUUUCCCACCGCAAGGGUAAGACCCCAGAAAGACUAUCUGGUUGAUAGGUCGAAGGUGUAAGUGCAGCAAUGUAUUUAGCUUAUCGAUACUAAUAGGUCGAGGACUUGACCAAU
Molecule: ribosomal RNA, 450 nt
Filed under: Clostridioides difficile
Lineage: Bacteria; Bacillati; Bacillota; Clostridia; Peptostreptococcales; Peptostreptococcaceae
Description: partial 23S ribosomal RNA
Rfam family: Bacterial large subunit ribosomal RNA
Source: RNAcentral